Molecule: ribosomal RNA, 1365 nt
Filed under: uncultured bacterium
Lineage: Bacteria
Description: bacterial SSU rRNA
Rfam family: Bacterial small subunit ribosomal RNA
Source: RNAcentral
AGAGUUUGAUCCUGGCUCAGGAUGAACGCUAGCGACAGGCUUAACACAUGCAAGUCGAGGGGCAGCGGUGGUGAAGGCUUGCCUUUACCAGCCGGCGACCGGCGCACGGGUGAGUAACACGUAUGCAACCUGCCUGCCACAGCCGGAUAAUCGGGAGAAAUUCCGUCUAAUACGGCAUAAUGCAUCGACGGGACAUCCUGUUGGUGCCAAAGGUUGAUUCCGGUGGCGGAUGGGCAUGCGUCGCAUUAGUUAGUUGGCGGUGUAACGGACCACCAAGACGACGAUGCGUAGGGGUUCUGAGAGGAAGGUCCCCCACACUGGUACUGAGACACGGACCAGACUCCUACGGGAGGCAGCAGUGAGGAAUAUUGGUCAAUGGCCGAGAGGCUGAACCAGCCAAGUCGCGUGAGGGAUGACGGCCCUACGGGUUGUAAACCUCUUUUGCCGGGGAGCAAAGAGCGGGACGCGUCCCGCCUCGAGAGUACCCGGAGAAUAAGCAUCGGCUAACUCCGUGCCAGCAGCCACGGUAAUACGGAGGAUGCGAGCGUUAUCCGGAUUUAUUGGGUUUAAAGGGUGCGUAGGCGGCCUGUUAAGUUAGUGGUUAAAUGUCGGGGCUAAACCCCGGAUUGCCAUUAAAACUGGCGGGCUCGAGUACAGACGAGGUAGGCGGAAUAAGUCAAGUAGCGGUGAAAUGCUUAGAUAUGACUUAGAACUCCGAUAGCGAAGGCAGCUUACCAGGCUGAGACUGACGCUGAAGCACGAGAGCGUGGGUAGCGAACAGGAUUAGAUACCCUGGUAGUCCACGCCGUAAACGAUGCUCACUGGUUCUUGGCGACAAACGGUCGGGGAUCAAGCGAAAGUAUUAAGUGAGCCACCUGGGGAGUACGUCGGCAACGAUGAAACUCAAAGGAAUUGACGGGGGCCCGCACAAGCGGAGGAACAUGUGGUUUAAUUCGAUGAUACGCGAGGAACCUUACCCGGGUUUAAAUGUUGAUGGACUUAAUUGGAAACAGUUAUUCUCUUCGGAGCCGUCAUCAAGGUGCUGCAUGGUUGUCGUCAGCUCGUGCCGUGAGGUGUCGGGUUAAGUCCCAUAACGAGCGCAACCCUUACCGUCAGUUGCCAUCAGGUAAAGCUGGGGACUCUGUCGGGACUGCCACCGUAAGGUGAGAGGAAGGCGGGGAUGACGUCAAAUCAGCACGGCCCUUACACCCGGGGCUACACACGUGUUACAAUGGCCGGUACAGAGGGCAGCUACCUGGAGACAGGAUGCGAAUCUCGAAAGCCGGUCGUAGUUCGGAUUGGAGUCUGUAACCCGACUCCAUGAAGUUGGAUUCGCUAGUAAUCGCGCAUCAGCCAUGGCGCGGU